GAUGAACGCUGGCGGCGUGCCUAAUACAUGCAAGUCGAGCGAACAGACGAGGAGCUUGCUCCUCUGACGUUAGCGGCGGACGGGUGAGUAACACGUGGAUACCCUACCUAUAAGACUGGGAUAACUUCGGGAAACCGGAGCUAAUACCGGAUAAUAUAUUGAACCGCAUGGUUCAAUAGAGAAAGACGGUUUUGCUGUCACUUAUAGAUGGAUCCGAGCCGCAUUAGCUAGUUGGUAAGGUAACGGCUUACCAAGGCAACGAUGCGUAGCCGACCUGAGAGGGUGAUCGGCCACACUGGAACUGAGACACGGUCCAGACUCCUACGGGAGGCAGCAGUAGGGAAUCUUCGGCAAUGGGGGAAAGCCUGACGGAGCAACGCCGCGUGAGUGAUGAAGGUCUUCGGAUCGUAAAACUCUGUUAUUAGGGAAGAACAAAUGUGUAAGUACCUAUGCAGGUCUUGACGGUACCUGAUCAGAAAGCCACGGCUAACUACGUG
Molecule: ribosomal RNA, 497 nt
Filed under: uncultured bacterium
Lineage: Bacteria
Description: partial 16S ribosomal RNA
Rfam family: Bacterial small subunit ribosomal RNA
Source: RNAcentral